GGAGCAAAGCUGCUGGAGUUCAAUAAGUGUAAAGCAGGACUUGAUAAGCAAGGUAGUGGUAGUAGCAGGCAAUUUAGAUAAGGAGGUGUAGUGUACUGUCAGAAAGUACUUGCAGUAUGAUCCCAAAUGAGUUUGGCCCAGGCUGUCUCUCAAUGCCUGGAUUUCCUGCAGGUUAAAUUCCUUUCCUUGGGCUUGGAGGACAUAUCAGUGUUAUCAGCCUGAUAGAUCACAGAAUACAGAAUUGUAGAACCUCCUGAGCUGGAAGGAACCCACAAGGCUCACCAAGGCCAGCUCUUAGCCCUGCACAGCACAGCCCCAAGAAGGCUGUUUCACAACUAAUGAUCACUGAUAUGGGAUUAAAGCAGUGUUGGAUCAUCCAGCAGGAUCACUGGAAAGAAGCUGUGUACAAAUGAUGCCGUUGUGGACGAAUCAGUCAACAACACCAUGACUGCCAUCCCACGCAGCCACCUCUGCACAGCAGCAUUCCAGCACCGUGUGGAAAACAGAGUGCCUGCCUGACCCACACAAGUCUGCUGUGCCAACAGCCCUCACCAGCUGAGAACAGAAUCAGAGACAACACAUCAGCAGCUGAAAUCACACAGGUCUUCUUGUUUAUGGCAGCAGAGUGGCCAUUUUCCACUGGAGAAACUGAGCUACAGCAAAUCAAAAAUUCUUUGCAAAGGUCAGUCCUACACCCAGGAAUAGUGACUGCAUUGUUGUACAAAAGUGAUGAUGUUAUUUUGGUGUUUUCUAUAUUGCUUUGACAAAAUCACAUGAAAAAAAUCAUUGUGUUUACAUCCUCUCUGCUCUCAGAUUGUCUUAACUGUCUGACCCCUUGUGUCUGAAGAAGUAUGUCACAAUCUCAGGAGAAUAUAUAAUGCUCACAAAUAGGUGUCUAUCAAGAAAUUAUUACUUAAAACCCCAGUUAUGUUAGCCUGCAUAGAUCAGGUAAAUAAAUUGCAGUCUAUUCUGUUUCUGGA
Zonotrichia albicollis (white-throated sparrow) is the source of this 980-nucleotide non-coding RNA. NCBI's taxonomy places the organism in Eukaryota, Metazoa, Chordata, Aves, Passeriformes, Passerellidae. The record is from RefSeq and is a predicted model, not a curated record.